This 403-nucleotide ribosomal RNA is filed under the name Verrucomicrobiota bacterium. Its description in RNAcentral is "Verrucomicrobia bacterium partial 16S ribosomal RNA". It matches the Rfam family "Bacterial small subunit ribosomal RNA", at positions 355 to 776 of the family's 1533-position model. The record is from RNAcentral. Lineage: Bacteria; Pseudomonadati; Verrucomicrobiota.
UGGGGAAUAUUGCACAAUGGAGGGAACUCUGAUGCAGCGACGCCGCGUGAACGAAGAAGGCUUUCGAGUCGUAAAGUUCUUUUAUAUGGGAAGAUAAUGACGGUACCAUAAGAAAAAGCCCCGGCUAACUACGUGCCAGCAGCCGCGGUAAUACGUAGGGGGCUAGCGUUGUCCGGAAUCACUGGGCGUAAAGGGUUCGCAGGCGGAAAUGCAAGUCAGGUGUAAAAGGCAGUAGCUUAACUACUGUAAGCAUUUGAAACUGCAUAUCUUGAGAAGAGUAGAGGUAAGUGGAAUUUUGAGUGUAGCGGUGAAAUGCGUAGAUAUCGGGAAGAACACCGAUGGCGAAGGCAGCCUGCUGGGCCGGCACUGACGCUGAGGCGCGAAAGCUAGGGGAGCAAACAGG